Molecule: ribosomal RNA, 466 nt
Filed under: uncultured bacterium
Lineage: Bacteria
Description: bacterial SSU rRNA
Rfam family: Bacterial small subunit ribosomal RNA
Source: RNAcentral
UGGGGAAUAUUGGACAAUGGGGGCAACCCUGAUCCAGCAAUGCCGCGUGCAGGAAGAAGGCGUUAUGCGUUGUAAACUGCUUUUGCCAGGGGAUAAAAUGACCGUGCGCGGUUAAUUGAAGGUACCUGGUGAAUAAGCCACGGCUAACUACGUGCCAGCAGCCGCGGUAAUACGUAGGUGGCAAGCGUUGUCCGGAUUUAUUGGGUUUAAAGGGUGCGUAGGUGGCCCUGUAAGUCAGUGGUGAAAUAUCUCAGCUUAACUGAGAGGGUGCCAUUGAUACUGCAGGGCUUGAGUACAGAUGAGGUAGGCGGAAUUGACGGUGUAGCGGUGAAAUGCAUAGAUAUCGUCAAGAACACCGAUAGCGAAGGCAGCUUACCAAGCUGUAACUGACACUGAGGCACGAAAGUGUGGGGAUCAAACAGGAUUAGAUACCCAAGUAGUCCCUGAGCGGGCUGGCAAGGCGCAU